GACGAACGCUGGCGGCGUGCUUAACACAUGCAAGUCGAACGCUGAAGCUCAGCUUUUGUUGGGUGGAUGAGUGGCGAACGGGUGAGUAACACGUGAGUAACCUGCCUCCUUCUUUGGGAUAACGCCCGGAAACGGGUGCUAAUACUGGAUAUUCACUGGUCUUCGCAUGGGGGUUGGUGGAAAGGGUUUUUCUGGUGGGGGAUGGGCUCGCGGCCUAUCAGCUUGUUGGUGGGGUGAUGGCCUACCAAGGCUUUGACGGGUAGCCGGCCUGAGAGGGUGACCGGGCACAUUGGGACUGAGAUACGGCCCAGACUCGGACGGGAGGCAGCAGUGGGGAAGAUUGCACAAUGGGCGCAAGCCUGAUGCAGCGACGCCGCGGGAGGGAUGGAGGCCUUCGGGUUGUGAACCUCUUUCGCUCAUGGUCAAGCCGAAACAAUGGUUGUGGUGAGGGUAGUGGGUAAAGAAGCGCCGGCUAACUACGUG
Molecule: ribosomal RNA, 483 nt
Filed under: uncultured bacterium
Lineage: Bacteria
Description: partial 16S ribosomal RNA
Rfam family: Bacterial small subunit ribosomal RNA
Source: RNAcentral